This 1244-nucleotide ribosomal RNA is filed under the name metagenome. Its description in RNAcentral is "bacterial LSU rRNA". It matches the Rfam family "Bacterial large subunit ribosomal RNA", at positions 1564 to 2818 of the family's 2925-position model. The record is from RNAcentral.
UGAAUACGAGACGCUAAGGCGUCGAAGUAGUGUAUGUCAUACUUCCAAGAAAAGCUUGCACUGUCAUAGAUAAAAAACGCCUGUACCAUAACCGACACAGGUGGGUAGGUAGAGUAUACUAAGGGGCGCGAGAUAACUCUCUCUAAGGAACUCGGCAAAAUAACUCCGUAUCUUCGGGAGAAGGAGUGCCUUAUUCUUAAGGUUGCAAUAACAAGAUCCAAGCAACUGUUUAUCAAAAACACAGGUCUCCGCUAAGUCGUAAGACGAUGUAUGGGGGCUGACGCCUGCCCAGUGCCAGAAGGUUAAAGAAGCUGGUUAGCAUUUGCGAAGCUAGUAACUGAAGCCCUGGUGAACGGCGGCCGUAACAAUAACGGUCCUAAGGUAGCGAAAUUCCUUGUCGGGUAAGUUCCGACCCGCACGAAAGACGUAAUGAUUUGGAUACUGUCUCGGAGAGGGGCUCGGUGAAAUAGACUUGCCUGUGAAGAUGCGGACUACCUGCACCAGGACAGAAAGACCCUAUGAAGCUUUACUGUAACUUGGAAUUGAAAUUGGACUUUAUUCGCGCAGUAUAGGUGGGAGGCGUUGAUUAUAAUCUUGCGGGAUUAUUGGAGCCAUUAGUGAGAUACCACUCUUGUAAUGUUAGAUUUCUAACUUUGAAUCAUUAUCUGGUCAAAGAACAGUUUCAGGCGGGCAGUUUGACUGGGGCGGUCGCCUCCCAAACGGUAACGGAGGCGUACAAAGGUUUCCUCUGAACGGUUAGAAAUCGUAUCUAGAGUGUAAAGGCAUAAGGAAGCUUGACUGUGAGACCUACAAGUCGAGCAGGGACGAAAGUCGGUCUUAGUGAUCUGACGGUACUGAGUGGAAAGGCCGUCACUCAACGGAUAAAAGUUACUCUAGGAUAACAGGCUGAUCUCCCCCAAGAGUUCACAUCGACGGGGAGGUUUGGCACCUCGAUGUCGGCUCAUCGCAUCCUGGGGCGGUAGUACGUCCCAAGGGUUGGGCUGUUCGCCCAUGAAAGCGGUACGCGAGCUGGGUUCAGAACGUCGUGAGACAGUUCGGUCCAUAUCCGGUGUAGGCGUUAGAAUAUUGAGAGGAGCCUUCUUUAGUACGAGAGGACCGAGAAGGACAUACCUCUGGUGUACCAGUUAUCGUGCCAACGGUAGACGCUGGGUAGCUAUGUAUGGAGUGGAUAACCGCUGAAAGCAUCUAAGUGGGAAGCCCACCUCAAGAUAAGUAUUCUCAUC